RNAcentral lists this ribosomal RNA (465 nucleotides) under Vreelandella stevensii. RNAcentral's name for it is "partial 16S ribosomal RNA". It matches the Rfam family "Bacterial small subunit ribosomal RNA", at positions 338 to 795 of the family's 1533-position model. The record is from RNAcentral. Lineage: Bacteria; Pseudomonadati; Pseudomonadota; Gammaproteobacteria; Oceanospirillales; Halomonadaceae.
CCUACGGGAGGCAGCAGUGGGGAAUAUUGGACAAUGGGGGGAACCCUGAUCCAGCCAUGCCGCGUGUGUGAAGAAGGCCCUCGGGUUGUAAAGCACUUUCAGUGAGGAAGAACGCCUGGUGGUUAAUACCCAUCAGGAAAGACAUCACUCACAGAAGAAGCACCGGCUAACUCCGUGCCAGCAGCCGCGGUAAUACGGAGGGUGCGAGCGUUAAUCGGAAUUACUGGGCGUAAAGCGCGCGUAGGUGGCUUGAUAAGCCGGUUGUGAAAGCCCCGGGCUCAACCUGGGAACGGCAUCCGGAACUGUCAAGCUAGAGUGCAGGAGAGGAAGGUAGAAUUCCCGGUGUAGCGGUGAAAUGCGUAGAGAUCGGGAGGAAUAACAGUGGCGAAGGCGGCCUUCUGGACUGACACUGACACUGAGGUGCGAAAGCGUGGGUAGCAAACAGGAUUAGAUACCCGAGUAGUC